Molecule: long non-coding RNA, 228 nt
Filed under: Zostera marina
Lineage: Eukaryota; Viridiplantae; Streptophyta; Magnoliopsida; Alismatales; Zosteraceae
Description: long non-coding RNA (ZMAR_LNC000903)
Source: RNAcentral
CGGCAGUUGAGGAAAACUCGGGUAAAAAUGUGGAAAUCUCCGACGAAAUCUCUUCUCCGAUGACCGUCGAGGGGGAGCCUCCCAUCAUAAGUAGGGAGAGUCAUUCGACAUCCGACGAGGAUAUAGUCCUUAGUCCCUCCACAGAUCCGAGCUCGUCAAGUCUGAAUAUUCUGGGGGUUCCUUCACUCAAUCAGACCAUUGCUCCCUCCUUGGAAGGCUCUCCUAUUG